Molecule: ribosomal RNA, 253 nt
Filed under: uncultured bacterium
Lineage: Bacteria
Description: partial 16S ribosomal RNA
Rfam family: Bacterial small subunit ribosomal RNA
Source: RNAcentral
UACGUAGGGUGCAGGCGUUACUCGGAAUUACUGGGCGUAAAGCGUGCGCAGGCGGUUUCUUAAGUCAGAUGUGAAAGCCCCGGGCUCAACCUGGGAACUGCGUUUGAAACUGGGAGACUUGAGUGUGGCAGAGGGGGGUGGAAUUCCACGUGUAGCAGUGAAAUGCGUAGAUAUGUGGAGGAACACCGAUGGCGAAGGCAGCCCCCUGGGUUAACACUGACGCUCAUGCACGAAAGCGUGGGGAGCAAACAGG